GAUGAACGCUGGCGGCGUGCCUAAUACAUGCAAGUCGAGCGAACAGAUGAGGAGCUUGCUCCUCUGACGUUAGCGGCGGACGGGUGAGUAACAUGUGGAUAACCUACCUAUAAGACUGGGAUAACUUCGGGAAACCGGAGCUAAUACCGGAUAAUAUAUUGAACCGCAUGGUUCAAUAGUGAAAGACGGUUUUGCUGUCACUUAUAGAUGGAUCCGCGCCGCAUUAGCUAGUUGGUAAGGUAACGGCUUACCAAGGCAACGAUGCGUAGCCGACCUGAGAGGGUGAUCGGCCACACUGGAACUGAGACACGGUCCAGACUCCUACGGGAGGCAGCAGUAGGGAAUCUUCCGCAAUGGGCGAAAGCCUGACGGAGCAACGCCGCGUGAGUGAUGAAGGUCUUCGGAUCGUAAAACUCUGUUAUUAGGGAAGAACAAAUGUGUAAGUAACUAUGCACGUCUUGACGGUACCUAAUCAGAAAGCCGCGGCUAACUACGUG
Molecule: ribosomal RNA, 497 nt
Filed under: uncultured bacterium
Lineage: Bacteria
Description: partial 16S ribosomal RNA
Rfam family: Bacterial small subunit ribosomal RNA
Source: RNAcentral